This 253-nucleotide ribosomal RNA is filed under the name uncultured bacterium. Its description in RNAcentral is "partial 16S ribosomal RNA". It matches the Rfam family "Bacterial small subunit ribosomal RNA", at positions 524 to 776 of the family's 1533-position model. The record is from RNAcentral.
UACGAGGGGGGCGAGCGUUGUUCGGAAUUAUUGGGCGUAAAGGGUGCGUAGGCGGUUUGGUAAGUCUUAUGUGAAAUCUAUGGGCUCAACUCAUAGUCUGCAUGAGAAACUGCCGGGCUUGAGUAUGGGAGAGGUGAGUGGAAUUCCUAGUGUAGCGGUGAAAUGCGUAGAUAUCAGGAGGAACACCUGUGGCGAAAGCGGCUCACUGGACCAUAACUGACGCUGAUGCACGAAAGCUAGGGGAGCAAACAGG